GUCUUAAAGAUUAAGCCAUGCAUGUGUAAGUAAAUGCCGUAUUAAGGGAAAACCGUGAAUGGCUCAUUAAAUCAGUUAUGGUUCCUUGGAUUGUGCCUUACUACUUGGAUAACUGUGGCAAUUCUAAAGCUAAUACGUGCAGCAAAGCUCUGACCCUUUGUUGACGAGUGCUUUUAUGAGACCAAAACCAAUCAGCCUCAUGUCCAUAUUAUGUGGUGACUCUAUAUAACUUCGGGCUGAUUGCACAGGCUCAUCCCGGCGACGUAUCUUUCAAGUGUCUGCCUUAUCAACUGUCGAUGGUAGGUUAGGCACCAACCAUGUUUGUAACAGGUGAUGGGGAAUCAGGGUUCGAUUCCGAAGAGGGAGCCUGAGAAACGGCUACCGCAUCCGAGGAAGGCAGCAGGCACGCAAAUUACUUACCGUCCUCUUUUUUAGCAUCGUCUUUCCUGCCUUUGAGCGAUCUCUUUAAGUGGUACGAAUCUUGGCCAAGGGGAUACAAGAC
Molecule: non-coding RNA, 502 nt
Filed under: Stegodyphus mimosarum
Lineage: Eukaryota; Metazoa; Arthropoda; Arachnida; Araneae; Eresidae
Description: eukaryotic small subunit ribosomal RNA
Rfam family: Eukaryotic small subunit ribosomal RNA
Source: Rfam by way of RNAcentral